RNAcentral lists this ribosomal RNA (504 nucleotides) under uncultured Glomus. Its description in RNAcentral is "SSU rRNA". It matches the Rfam family "Eukaryotic small subunit ribosomal RNA", at positions 569 to 1079 of the family's 1831-position model. The record is from RNAcentral. Lineage: Eukaryota; Fungi; Glomeromycota; Glomeromycetes; Glomerales; Glomeraceae.
AGCAGCCGCGGUAAUUCCAGCUCCAAUAGCGUAUAUUAAAGUUGUUGCAGUUAAAAAGCUCGUAGUUGAAUUUCGGGAUCAGUUGGUCGGUCGUGCCUCGGUACGUACUGGUCAAAUUGAUUCCUACCUUCUGACGAACCACGAUGUCAUUAAUUUGGUGUCGCGGGAAAUCAGGACUGUUACUUUGAAAAAAUUAGAGUGUUUAAAGCAGGCUCGCGCUUGAAUACAUUAGCAUGGAAUAAUGAAAUAGGACGUUUGAUUCUAUUUUGUUGGUUUCUAGGAUCGACGUAAUGAUUAAUAGGGAUAGUUGGGGGCAUUAGUAUUCAAUUGUCAGAGGUGAAAUUCUUGGAUUUAUUGAAGACUAACUACUGCGAAAGCAUUUGCCAAGGAUGUUUUCAUUAAUCAAGAACGAAAGUUAGGGGAUCGAAGACGAUCAGAUACCGUCGUAGUCUUAACCAUAAACUAUGCCGACUAGGGAUCGGAUGAUGUUAAUUUUUAAUGUAC